CCCGUUCAUCCACCUCCGGCCGAACCUAUUUCGGCCCGGAUUGACCCCGGCCGGCCACCGUCGGCCGGCCAAAAUUCACCAAAUCUUCCCCGAAACAGGGGAAGGUAAAACCGAAUGGCUCCCCAUCUUUUCUCUCCCCUUAAAUCCAUAAAACAAAUAGAUAGGUUGUUUUCCUCACCUCCGGUCGUCGACGAGUGGGUUCCCGGCGGUGAU
This 213-nucleotide long non-coding RNA is filed under the name Phoenix dactylifera (date palm). RNAcentral describes it as "long non-coding RNA (PDAC_LNC020132)". Lineage: Eukaryota; Viridiplantae; Streptophyta; Magnoliopsida; Arecales; Arecaceae. The record is from RNAcentral.